AAGUCGUAACAAGGUUUCCGUAGGUGAACCUGCGGAAGGAUCACUACUGAGAACCUGCCCCCCGGGUAGAAUCUCCCACCCUGUGCCUCUAUGUACCUUGUCGCUUUGGCGGGCUCGCGCCCGCCGGAGCACACCCAAACCCCGAAUGCUGUCGUCCGAGUACUAUCUAAUAGUUAAAA
RNAcentral lists this unclassified non-coding RNA (179 nucleotides) under plant metagenome. Its description in RNAcentral is "partial contains small subunit ribosomal RNA and internal transcribed spacer 1". The stretch from base 1 to 46 matches the Rfam family "Eukaryotic small subunit ribosomal RNA", at positions 1786 to 1831 of the family's 1831-position model. The record is from RNAcentral.